AGGACGAACGCUGGCGGCGUGCUUAACACAUGCAAGUCGAACGGUGAAGCCUUUCGGGGUGGAUCAGUGGCGAACGGGUGAGUAACACGUGAGCAACCUGCCCUUGACUCUGGGAUAACUUCGGAAAACCGGAGCUAAUACCGAAUAUGACACGCGGAGGCAUCUCCUGUGUGUGGAAAGAUUCAUUGGUCAAGGAUGGGCUCGCGGCCUAUCAGCUAGUUGGUGGGGUAAUGGCCUACCAAGGCGACGACGGGUA
This 256-nucleotide ribosomal RNA is filed under the name uncultured bacterium. Its description in RNAcentral is "partial small subunit ribosomal RNA". It matches the Rfam family "Bacterial small subunit ribosomal RNA", at positions 26 to 285 of the family's 1533-position model. The record is from RNAcentral.